UAGGAAUGUUCCAGAAGUAAGAGAGAUGACUAGGGUUUCAAGAACAAGGACCAGCACCUAUGAAGGCUCUGAGGCACAGACCACUGUGACCUGUGGAGAAGUGCAAAGUGAAAGGCAUGUUUUGAUUACUACCGACAUUCAAAGUCUGGACACAGGUGACAAAUCUAAAAGAUAUUGCCCAUUCGUCCAACUGCCGCUGUCCUGCCAGUAUAUCGUCUGAGAUUACCAUCAGCUAAAUAUUGCAUUGUCUUUGGACAAUUUUCCUACAUUGUGACUCCUCACUACAUUUUCAAUGCUUUUCUAGUCCCAGACAAGCUACAGACUGUUAAUUUACACUUGCUUUUGCCUUGCCUGAGGAAAUUGAAAAUAAAUUUUAAUUUCCUAGUCAAGGGCUACGGGUGCUUUGUGUGGUUUGGAGGAAAAAAAAAAUACUGUUAGAUGGAAUUAGGGAAUAUUAGGAGAGUUUCUGAAGUUAGUGAAGGUACACAGUAAUUGAUCACUUGCCCUCAUAGUGAGAGGUCAUUCCAAUGAGCAGAGGUUCUGUCAAUAUCUGAGAUCUGUUUGAUACCUGGCCUCAAUCUGUCAAUCACGCCCAGUAACCAUAUUCAUAGGCUUCAGAUCUGAAUUUUGAAUUGCAUCAGAAGCUUUCCUCUGGCCUCAGAGAUGCCAUUGAGACCAUUCUCAUAGUUAGUCACCACUCACACUACACAAAAUGGAAGAAAAAAACUUCCUUUGGGGCAAAUCAACAAUCUCUGGUAGGAAAAUAAACAAGGAUGCUUUCAGAAUACCAGAAGCCCAAGUCUGAGCAUCUGGAGGCAAAGGAAGAGUAGAGAAGUCUUUGUUGGUGGGACCACUGCCUGUAGGAAUUUAAGGGAACUUGGAUCUUAGGAGUUGCUCAGUUAAGUCCUAGAGAGAGCCUAAGUGGGACUAAUGAGAAGCAGAACAAUUGCUAUUUCUGAGAAGAAAAACCAACACUUUUGGAUGUUAACUUUUGGAUGUUUGAAUUUUUUGUUUUAGUUUUUAUUCCUUUUGGGAAAAGCUAUUUUUAUUGCAAAAAAAUAUGUAAAGCUAGCAACAAAAUAGUUGAAAGUAUUUAUUGUGUACCUACUGUGUGAUAGCAGCUGGGUUUCAAACACAAGUGAAUAUGAAAUAAAUGAGCCCUAGAUGCACA
This 1171-nucleotide long non-coding RNA is filed under the name Pan troglodytes (chimpanzee). RNAcentral's name for it is "lincRNA". The record is from RNAcentral. Lineage: Eukaryota; Metazoa; Chordata; Mammalia; Primates; Hominidae.